RNAcentral lists this long non-coding RNA (25040 nucleotides) under Solanum tuberosum (potato). RNAcentral describes it as "long non-coding RNA (STUB_LNC004335)". Lineage: Eukaryota; Viridiplantae; Streptophyta; Magnoliopsida; Solanales; Solanaceae. The record is from RNAcentral.
CAGGUCAAAAAAUGGAAAAUACAGGGCUGAGGCGAAAUACAGGUGUUCGGAAGCAGGAAAUACACGAAAAUAGCUGAUAUACACUGAUAUAUACAAAAAACGGGAACUGGGUUAAACCCCAAAAACAACAGCGGAUUUGGCCCAAGAAAAGCCCAAAUUCAACUUCUCUCCCUUACUCUUAAAUUAUUUAAUUGUGAUUAUUUAUUAUUUGUUGUUUAUUAACUCUAAUUUUAGAAUUGUUAAUUAACUUAAUCAAACUCUCCAAAAGAUGAACUAUUUCUUUGUGUUGUUUUGUUUUAACAAAUUUCAUUUUAUCAACUCUUAUAUUUUUUACACACACUUGAAUAUUUUAGUCAAAACUUUCACUUGUCUUAUUUAAUUUAAAAGAUACUCUCUUUAAUUAAUUCAAUUGGUUUAAGUAAUAUUUAAAAAGAGAUUCAAAUAAAUUCUAAUAAAUCUGAUUUUGUUAAAAUCUUAAUCACAUGCAUUUUAAUUCAAAUGUUUCAUUUUAGGUCCGUUUCUCUAAAAAAUUAAAAUUAAAUAAAAUGUGUCCUUUAGUUAUUUAUUUUCUCAAAGUCAAUCGAAUAUUGUAAAUUAUUAUAUAUUUUUUAUGUUAAAUCAUUUUCCUAAAAAAAAAAUAGUCAAAAAUAUUUUAAUCAAGUCGUAGGAUAAUCGCGUGUUAGCGGACGCUUAAAAUGUCUUAAAAACCUUCUUGAACCGUAAAUAAUAACCUCUUACCCAUUUUCUCUAAAUUUUUAAAGAUUUAAUCUAUUAGAGUUUUUAAAAAAUUAAGUUUUCUUAGUUUCUUUAAAAAAUUAAGUAGCGACUCUUUUCUAAGUAUUUUUCUCAAAAUUGUUUUAUACUUAGAACAUUUCAAAAAGUAAUUUAGCUAAAAAUAGUAAAACUAUGGCACAACACUAUGUCUCGACAUAGAUGAUCUUCUUCUCCUCCUCCUUCUUCUUUUUCUUCGUCGUCCUCCUCCUUAUUCUUCCUUUUCUUCCUCUUCUUGUUCCUCCUCUUCCUCCUUUUCUUCCUCUUCUUAUUCCUCCUCUUCCUCCUCCCCCUCUUCUUCUUCCUCCUCCUCUUCCACUUCCUCUUCUUCUUCCUCCUCUUACCUUCCUCCUCCUCCUCCUCUUCUUCUUCUUCUUCUUCCUCGGUUUCAUAGUACUCUCGAAUAAAUUCGACCACAAAACAACCAUCAAGAAAUAACAUUUCUGAAAAUUUGCCAACAAUAUCAUUGUCUAAGUUAUUAUCAUAACACUUUAGUGCUUCAUCUUUCUUUUUCUCCAAUUCACUAAUGCAACUUUCCACAUCAAGCCCCUCUUUUCGCUGGAUAAAUUGUUGUAGGUACAACAAUUUAUACUUCUCCAUCGAACUAAGUUCAUGAGUCCUUUUAUGGUAAGGACCAAUGGAGAUCAACAUUGGUGUAUAAGCAUCCACAUAUGAUUUUCAUAAAAUUUGAUAUCAAGUUUAGUUGAACGAAAAACACUUUUAGGGUGUGUUUGAUACGACAAGAGAUGAUGUUUUUCCUUAAGUGAGUUUCUUAUUUAUGAAUUGAGCUACCUAGUGCCUUUUGAUGGUGGAAAGUGACAAAUAUAAAUACUUGAAAUAAACUGAUUAACAUUCAACUAGAAAACCCAAUACAAAAGGGGGACAUAGAAUUAAUGAAGAACUCAUAAUAAGAUCAUCAACACACAUAUAAAAUACAUGGAGGGAGUUAUGAGGAAACACUACAAUUGAGAUAAUUACUAGUACAUACUUCUUAAGAGGACCUGUGAAAGUUAAAAUAGUUUGUAUAGCUGUGAGUAUUAGGAGUAUAAUGGCUGCCACAGUUGAAGCUCCUACCCAAGGACUACUAAAAUAAUUGCGCAUUAAAUUUGCCUUCAUUCUAUUCCAUGGUUUUUCACGAUAUUCAAUUGCUUUUUUGAUUUCUUCUGUGUAAUAGAAGUUGAAAUACGUAGUGACCCCUUUUCCGAUUUUGUUGAAGAGGCUAGCAACUUCUUUGUCCUCUCCUAUCCAGUUCUCUAUGAUUCCUUUCUAGCAAAGCAAACCCACAUCUUUGUCUGAGUCGAUAAGAUGAUCCAUGAAAGUUGCAUAAUCGCUAAAAUAUGUAGGAUAUACAUCAGGUGAUUGUUGCUCAUAAGCAAUGAAAUUUCUCAGGAGAGUUUCUGUACCAUCUACGACUAGAAAAUAAGGGAUUGGCAUCAAUCCAUUCUCGAACUUUAUAUCAAAUAAACUUGUCAUAUUUCUGACCUUUGCAUAGCUAACUCCGGCUUCGGAAAGCUCUGUUGCAUUUGGCAUGACCGUAGGACUCGUUAAGCAAUCUUCUGAGUUUUUCAUGGGAUUCCCAUGACUUGAAAAUAUGUGUACUACAUGAAGUAAAUGUUUGACAUUUUCUGCAUUACAUUCUAUCUUUCCAAAGGAUUCAAGGGUCAUUUUUGGCCAGUUAACAAAAAAGGUAAACACCUUAUUCACCAGUGUUGCCAAUGGUAAAUCAUCAUCUUGCUUUGUCAUGUCAUGGAGCUUGUCGAGGACAAAGAAAGGAAAUUGAUUUUCUAGUAACAUCAAGUCUCGGAAUAUGUAAUUAUGAUUAAUAUUAAUAAUCUUGUCUUCUACUUUUGGAUAUAUUCCACAACAGUACUCUCGAAUAAACUCAACCACAAAAUAACCGUCAAACAACAACAUUUCGGAAAAUUCAUGACUAAUAUCAUUACCAAGCUUUUCUAUAUCUUUGUAACACUUCAGUACUUCCUCCUUCACUUUCUCCAAUUCAUUGAUGUAACUUUUCACAUCAAGUCUCUUAUUUCGUUGAAGAAACCUUCGUAGGUAUAAUAGUUUGUUCUUUUUCAUUGGACCAAGUUUAGUAUUCUUCUUAUGAUAAGGACCAAUGGAGACCAUCUUUGGUGUAUAAGCAUCUGAAUUUGAUUCACGUUGCCACACAUUCACUUUGAAUAUCGUACAUGAUUUAAUAGAUGAAUUGUCUAAAUCCUCAAACAUUUCAUCAAUUCUUUCAUUUUUGUCGAUUAAAUGAUCCACUUUCCUCCCUUCUUCUAUCUGUAACGGAGAAGAGGCAAGUAUACCCUUCUUAACUUUGCGGUCUAGAUCAAAUAUAUAUUUCGUAAAAAAAAAAGUAAUGCAUUUCAUUGUUUUAUAAAUGAUGCAUAUUUACCCCUUUUGUUAAUAGAGUGAAUUAAAAAAAAUAUAGAACUAAUUUUUUAAUUUUAAAAAUGUCACGUGACUUUAAAAAAUUACCACACCUUAUGCAUUACCCCUCCAAAUCUCUUGAAAUUCAUGCACGUAUAUAGAAAAAGAUUAUACAUUUAAUUGUCAAAAGAAAAGUGUGUUAAUGAAAUAAAAAAAUAAAUUUAUAUAGUUGAGAGAGACCUCAUCUUUUUUAGUUUGAGGAAGCAGUGGAAUUUGGUCAUCUAUUGGGGUAAUCUCAAUGGAGUGAUCUGCCAUACUUCUUUCUUCAACUAUAAGUCCUACAAAAGAAAGUUGUUUGUUUUUUAAAGAAAUUUUGAACGAAAUAAGCCAUUAUUUAAAACAGUUUAUCAAAAUAAUAUAUUUUUCUGAAAUUUUACAAAAUUAGAAUAAACAUAUUUCUUAAUAACGUUUUGGCUUUAUUUCAUUCAAAAGAAUUCAAUGAAAAAAAUACAAAGAUCUGACGGAGUAAAUAGAUAUAAAAUGUUACUAUCAGUAACGUUUUAUAAUUCGUCACUCUGAGACACAUUUACAGCUAAUUACGUUACUCAUAAUAAUGUUGGAGGCAAAGGCAGAGGCCAAUUAAAGGAUCAUUCAUAGACUCAAGGUUGAGAUUUGAGAAUUCAUCCUCUAUUUGUAAACAUAGCAAAAUUAGAAACAAAAGUGUUGGAGGCAGAGGCAAAUAUAGUUAAUAUUCUACGGGGUAGACUAUAGACUUAAUAAUUUUUGACAAGAAAAAUAGAUAUAUAUAAUGUAAAAAUCACUAGAAUUCUAAAGAAACGUUACCGUGAUGCCUCAGGGUAACAAAUUAUAAAAGAUAGCAACAUUUAAUAUUUGCUUAUUCUGAAUAAAAUAUAGCCUAAAACGUUAUUGAGAAGCACGUUUAUUCUAAUUUCGUAAAACUUCAAAAAAUAAAAACGUAUUAAUUUGAUGAAUUGAUUUAAAUAAUAACUUUGGUCAAAAAUCAUUUUUUUAAAUCAAAUUAAUUACAAAAUUUGAUUUGAAAAGAAAAGACAAGCAAAAAGGGAAAUCAAUUUUAAUUUUCUUGUAGCUUUAUGAAAAAGAACCCUAUAUACAUGUCUUGUCAUAACCUGUAGAAAAAUAAACUAAUUUGAGGUAACCUGCAGGCCUAACACACACACACACACAUAUAUAUAUAAGUACAUACAUAAAAUGGUGCAUGUGUAAAGCAUUUAAAAUAAUAAUUACCUUUUUGAUUUAUCUAUUUAUAAAUUGAAAAUGGACUAGUUGGAGUGUACUUGAGUGUCUUCUUAAAUUCUUCUCUGUUCAACUUUUUUGAGGGUGAAGAAUGAGAGAUGAAGAAUAAAAAAUUAUAUAUGAGUAUUAUAUAUAGAUUUUCUUUUGUGUGAUUACAAGCCUGCCUAUAUUACUAACAUGAAAUAAUGUACAUUGUUGAGAAAAGUAUCGUGGAAUAAAUAAAACUUCAGUAUCACAGAAUAAAUGAAUAAUACAUAAAUCAUAGAAUAAAUAAGGCUUCAGUAUUAUAGAACAAAUGUAUAAUACAUAAAUAUGUCUUUUAGUUUGACCUUGACUAAUAUUUAUACCCCUUCUAACUUUGCAUGUGCCCAAAUAAACACUUAAAUUUAUACAGAGUUGAACAAACACAUGCACAAAUUCUCCGUGGCAUCCUAUAUGUGUUUUGCCACAUAAAACGUGUGUAUGUGGCAUAAAGUUAGAUGUCUAUUGAGGCCAACAAAAAGACAUAUAUGCCUAGAAUAAAUAAAAUUUCAGUAUCAUAGAAUAAAUUAAUUUUUUCUAUCUUAUCACAUAGGAUAGGCCCAAGAGUCAUCCAAAGUUAUAGUAGAAAAGGAGUCAUUAAUGACAACUUUAAUUUGGUGUUCCAUAUACAAUGCUUUAUCAUCUGAUAAUAAUAGAAUUUAUUCUUCUCCAUGUACUUACAAGCAGCCCAAGAUUUUUAUAUCUCCCAACAAACAUGUUACAUGAGGUCCCUUAAACCCUUUUUGUGGAUGGUAUUUUUGCAAUUUAAGUGUAUACUUGUGCAGACUCAAAGUUGGAGGGCAUAGUUGUCUGUUAAAGCUAAAUUAAGGGUCAUGUUUAUGUAUUAUGCCAAUUAAAUAUAUGUAUGAAAUAAUGGAGGAUUUGUUGGGGAUAUGAGGUAUGAAUGGGAAAUAAGGAAAGUGUCAUUUUUCAAUAAAACAUUAACUGUCGUGUGAUUUGCUUUGUUUGUUGAGUUCGCUGGCGUUUUGUAAUUUGCAUUGCCGCUAUUACACAAAUGUUUUUCCAUUCUAUCCUGGGAGGAAGUAACCCGAAACCAUGGCAAUAGUGAGGGGGUUAUAGGGUUAUAAUUUCUUAAAAGACACACAAACAACUUGUGGGCUCGGAAUAAUAUUCUACUUCUUCUACAAACUUUUCUACAUUCUUCUUUGUAAUAGAAAUCACUAUAGAUAUUGACCCCCUGCCCUAUUUUAUCAAAGAUGUUAGCUACUUCAUUGUCCUCUCCUAGUUGAUUGCUUAUGAUUCCUUUUUGACGAAGCACAUUAAUUCACAUAUUUGUCUGAGUCGAUAAGAUAAUCCAUGAACACAACAAAAUCAGAAAGUACAUCAUAUGUUUGUUGCUUAUAGGCUACAAGAUUUCUCCAUUACAUCAUCAACUUCAAAAUGUUUGGUAGUCUUUUAUCUUUUGACAUAAUCUUCAUACUUAAAUACUGAACACUCAGGAAAGAAUUAUAGUAUGAAGAGUGCGACAACAUGUGUACUAGUUGAAGCCAGUGGCAGAUAAGGUUGUGGAUGCUCUGAAAGUGGAGGAGUCAAAAAUAUAAAAAAUGACAUGUUAAAAGUGAGAUUCAAACUCAGGCUCAGCAAUACUAAAAGAGCCUUAAGCACCCACCCAAGAGCCAAUGGACCAGUAAGAUCAUUUGUUCACUAAGUGCUCUAUGUUAAUUUUAUACAAAUACCUCUUAAUUUCUACACAGAUAUAUAUAUUCCGAGACGACGUUAAUGGGUGCUUGAGCACCCGGAGGACUCUAUGUGGGUACACCCCUGGUUGAAGCAGAUGUUUGAUGUAUUUGAUAUCACCUUCCCUCUCAAGAUAGGACCAUCAAUUUCCUUUGUCAUAUCAUGAAGCUUGGUGAGCACAAAGAAAGGAAGUUGGAAACAACAAAUCUCGACGUGCAAUGUUUAUCAUACAAUUCGCUGUUAGGCGUCAUUCCACUACACUCUUGAAUAAACUCAACUACGAAACAUCCAUCUAGUAAAGGUAUUUCUGAAAAUUUGCAAAUGAUAUCAUUGUUCAAGUUUUCUAUAAUGAGGAAACACUCACUCAGUACUAAAUGUAACCCAUGGAGGUUUGGCCGAAAAGCCACCUCUUGUACUCUUUUUGCGAAGUUAUCAAUAAGUUGGGGUCUAUACCUAACCCCCCACCAAUAGGUGGUUUUGAAAAAAAAAAGAAAAGGAAACACUCACUCAGUCAACAAUUGGUUACAUAGUUACAACAAAGAUUACUUCAUAACGUCACCAAUAAAAGCCAGAACAUUCUGCAUAACAGCGAGUACAAGAAGUGUUAUAGCUGCCACAGUUGAAGCUCCUACCCAAGGACUCGAGAAAUAGUUGUGCCUUAAACUAGCCUUCAUUUGACUCCAUGGCUUAUCACAAUGUUGAAUCAAUUUGCUGCAUUCUUUUAUGUAAUAAAAGCUUGUGAUUUCCACCCCAUCUGAAAGUUUCUUGAAAAUGCUGGCCACAUGUUUGUCAUCCCCUAUGUCCUUAAGGAUGAUUUUCUCCUUGCGAAGAAACUUCACAUCUCAUGAAGGUUUCCAUAGUAUCCUCGAUUACAAAACAAGGUAUUUUCAUUAAUCCCUUCUCAAACUUGAUAUCGAAUAAUGUUGUUUUAUCCUCCUUCUUUUCUUGCACAUAUCCUAUUCUUAUGAAUCUAACUCCAGCAUCGUAAAGCUCUGUUACACUUGGAAUAUGAUAGCAAUCCCAUAAACCAAGAACUUUGGGAGUUUCUUUUGACUUCGUUAAUUGCAAAACGUUGUCACAAAAUCUUAUCUUGCAACAUUCUUUUGGUGUAGUAGAAUUUGUGUUUUGUUUAGCUUUCAUAUGAUCAUGAUCUGAUGGUCGAGAAAACAUGUGUACUACGUGAACUAAAUGAUUGAAUUGUUCUGUAUUAAAAUUGUGAAUCUCUGGUGGGGGUAUGAAUUUCGCCUUUGGGAAAGUAUCAAGUAAGGUCUUUCUUACCAUAAACAAGAAGCUCACUUCUUUAUGAUGCUUUGUCAUGUCAUGAAGCAUGGUAAGUACAAAGAAAGGGAGUUGAUUUUCUAGUAACACCAUGUCUCGACACACUUGUUUCUUCAUCCAUUCCAAGUUGAUGAUGUUGUCGUUGUCUUCUUCUUCUUCUUUUUCCUCGGUUGCAUAGUACUCUCGCAUAAAUUUGACCACAAAACAACCAUCAAGCAACAACAAUUUUGAAAAUUUGCCAACAAUAUCAUCGUCAAAGUUAUCGUCAUAACACUUUAGUGUUUCAUCUUUCUUUUUCUCCAAUGCACUAAUGCAACUUUCCACAUCAAACCCUUCUUUUCGCUCGAGAAAUUGUUGUAGGUACAACAAUUUGUACUUCUCCAUCGAACUAAGUUCAUGAGUCCUUUUAUGGUAAGGACCAAUGGAGAUCAACAUUGGCAUAUAAGCAUCUGCAUUUGAUUUUCGUAAAAUUUGAUAUCAAGUUUAAUUGAAGAAAAACACUUUUAGGAUGUGUUUGAUACGACAAGAGAUGAUAUUUAUUUUUUUAAAAAUAAGUGAAUUUCUUAUUUAUGAAUUGAGCUACCUAGUGCCUUUUGAUGGUGGAAAGUGACAAAAAAUAUAGAUAAACUAAUUAACAUUCAACUAGAAAACCCAAUACAAAAGGGGGACAUAGAAUUAAUGAAGAACUCAUAAAAAGAUCAUCAACACAUAUAUAAAAUACAUGGAGGGAGUUGUGAGGAAACACUACAAUUGAGAUAAUUACUUUUUAAUAGGACCUGUCAAAGUUAAAAUAGUUUGUAUAGUUGUGAGUAUGAGCAGUAUAAUGGCUGCCACAGUUGAAGCUCCUACCCAAGGACUACUAAAAUAAUUGUGCAUUAAAUUCGCCUUCAUUCUAUUCCAUGGUUUUUCACAAUGCUCAAUUGCUUUUGUUAUUUCUUCUUUGUAAUAGAAGCUAGAAUACGUAGUGAUUCCUUUUCCGAUUUUGUUGAAUAGGGUAGCAACUUCUUUGUCCUCUCCUAUCCAGUUCUCUAUGAUUCCUUUCUGGAAAAGCAAAUUCACAUCUUUGUCUGAGUCGAUAAGAUGAUUCAUGAAAGUUGCAUAAUCGCUAAAAUAUCUAGGAUCUACAUCAGAUGAUUGUUGCUCAUACGCAAUGAGAUUUCGCAGGACAGUUUCUGUACCAUCUACGACUAGAAAACAAGGGAUUGUCAUCAAUCCAUUCUCGAACUUUAUAUUAAGUAAACUUGUCACAUUUUUUACCUUUGCAAAGCUAACUCCAGCUUCAGAAAGCUCUGUUGCAUUUGGCAUCACCCUUUGACACUUUAUGCUAUUGUUUAACUUUUUCAUGGGAUUCCCAUGACAUGAAACUAUGUGUACUAGAUGAAGUAAAUGUUUGAUAUUUUCUGCAUUACAUUCUAUCUUUUCAGGGGAUUCAAGGUCCAUAUUUGGCCGGUUAACAAAAAAGGUAAACACCUUAUUCACCAGUAUUGCCAAUGGUAAUUCAUUAUCUUGCUUUGUCAUGUCAUGAAGCUUGUUGACGACAAAGAAAGGAAGUUGAUUUUCUAGUAACAUCAAGUCUCGGAGUAUGUAAACAUGAUUAAUAUUAAUAAUCUUGUCUUCUCCUUUUGGAUAUAUUCCAUAACACUCUCGAAUAAACUCAACCACAAAACAACCAUCAAAUAACAACAUUUCGCAAAAUUCAUGACCAUCGUUACCAAACUUUUCUAAAUCUUCGUAACACUUCAAUACUUUCUCCUUAACUUUCUCCAAUUCACUGAUGUAACUUUUCACAUCAAGUCUCUUAUUUCGUUGAAGAAACCGUCGUAGGUAUAAUAGUUUGUACUUUUUCAUUGGACCAAGUUGAGUAUUCUUCUUAUGGUAAGGACCAAUGGAGACCAUCUUCGGUGUAUAAGCAUCUGGAUUUGAUUCACGUUGCCACACAUUUACUUUGAAUAUCGUACACGAUUUAAUAGAUGAAUUGUCUAAAUCCUCAAACAUUUCAUCAAUUCUUUCAUUUAUGUCGAUUAAAUGAUCCACUUUCCUCUCUUCUUCUAUCUGUAACGGAGAAGAGGCAAGUAUACCCUUCUUAACUUUGUGGUCUAGAUUAAAUAUAUAUUUCGUAAAAAAAAAGUAAUGCAUAUAUACCUUCAUUGUUUUAUAAAUGAUGCAUAUUUACCCCUUUUGUUAAUAGAAUGAAUUAAAAAUAAUAUAAAACUAAUUUUUUAAUUUCAAAAAUGUCAUGUGACUUUAAAAAAUUACCACACCUUAUGCAUUACCCCUCCAAAUCUCAUGAAAUUCAUGCACAUAUAUAGAAAAAGAUUAUGCAUUUAAUUGUCAAAAGAAAAGUGUGUUAAUGAAAUAAAAUAAAUAAAUUUAUAUAGUUGAGAGAGACCUCAUCUUUUUUAGUUUGAGGAAGCAGUGGAAUUUGGUCAUCUCUUGGGGUAAUCUCAAUGGAGUGAUCUCCCAUACUUCUUUCUUCAACUAUAAGUCCUACAAAAGAAAGUGGUUUGUUUUUAAAGAAAUUUUGAUCGAAAUAAGUCAUUAUUUAAAACCGUUUAUCAAAAUAAUAUAUUUUUCUGAAAUUUUACAAAAUUAGAAUAAACAUAUUUCUUAAUAACGUUUUGGCUUUAUUUCAUUCAAAAGAAUUCAAUGAAAAAAUACAAAGAUCUGACGGAGUAAAUAGAUAUAAAAUGUUACUAUCAGUAACGUUUUAUAAUUCGUCACUCUGACACACAUUUUACACCUAAUUACGUUACUCAGAAAAAUGUUGGAGGCAGAGGCCAAUUAAAGGAUCAUUCAUAGACUCAAGGUUGAGAUUUGAGAAUUCAUCCUCUAUUUGUAAACAUAGGAAAAUUAGAAACAAAAGUGUUGAAGGCAGAGGCAAAUAUAGUUAAUAUUCUACGGGGUAGACUAUAGACUUAAUAAUUUUUUACAAGAAAAAAUAAAAAUAAAAUAAAUAUAUAUAUAUAUGUAAUGUAAAAAUCACUAGAAUUCUAAAGAAACGUUACCGUAAUACCUCAGAGUAACAAAUUAUAAAACGUUAUUGAUAGUAACAUUUAAUAUUUGCUUAUUCUGAAUAAAAUAUUGCCUAAAACGUUAUUGAGAAGCACGUUUAUUCUAGUUUCGUAAAACUUCAAAAAAUAAAAACGUAUUAAUUUGAUGAAUUGAUUUAAAUAAUAACUUUGGUCAAAAAUUCAUUUUUUUAAAUCAAAUUAAUUACAAAAUUUGAUUUGAAAAAGAAAAGACAAGCAAAAAGGAAAUCAAUUUUAAUUUUCUUGUAGCUUUAUGAAAAAGAACCCUAUAUACAUGUCUUGUCAUAACCUGUAGAAAAAUAAACUAAUUUGAGGUAACCUGGCUUAAUAUAUACAUAUAUAUAUAUAUAUAUAUAUAUAUAUAUAUAUAAAACAUUUAAAAUAAUAAUUACCUUUUUGAUUUAUCUAUUUAUAAAUUGAAAAUGGACUAGUUGGAGUGUACUUGAGUUUCUUCUUAAAUUCUUCUCUCUUCAAAUUUUAUGAGGGUGAAGAAUGAGAGAUGGAGAAUAAAAAAUUCUAUAUGAGUAUUAUAUAUAGAUUUUCUUUUGUGUGAUUGCAAGCCUACCUAUAUUACUAACAUGAAAUAAUGUACAUUUUUGAGAAAAGUAUCAUGGAAUAAAUAAAGCUUCAGUAUUACAGAAUAAAUGAAUAAUAUAUAAAUCAUAGAAUAAAUAAAGUUUCAAUAUUAUUGAAUAAAUGUGUAAUACAUAAAUAUGUCUUUUAGUUUGACCUUGACUAAUAUUUAUACCCCUUCUAACUUUGCGUGUGCCCAAAUAAACACUUAAAUUUGUACAGAGUUGAACAAACAUAUGCACAGAUUCUCCGUGGCAUCCUACAUAGGGCUGGACAUUCGGUAUUUCGGUUCGGUUUUGGUUUUUUUUUUGGUUUUUUUGGUUUUUGGUUCUUGUACAACGUGUACCGAACACCGAAUCGAAAUAAUUUGGUUCGGUUCGAUUUAUGUUAUUUCGGUUCGGUUUUGUUAAUUUAGUUUUUUGUUAUGGGCCUGCUUAGUGGGAUUUUUAAAAUUUUGUAAUUUUUUUGUUUAUUUUAUUUAUAUUUAUUUCUUUUUGCUUAUUUUACUCUGUUUUUCGAAUUAUUGUAUGAUUCAAAAUAAUAAGUUGUCAUUAACAUUGAAAUUUAGCCUUGUUAUAACAUUGAAAUUUACCGAUCGUUGCUGUGCUGCGGCUGCCUGCUGGUCGACUGGCGACUGUUGCGUACUGCUGGUCGCCGGAAUGGUCGACGCUGCUGUAGUCUGUAGACGACUAGACGUGGGAACGGUAAUUUUUGCCUUUUGGGAAGUGGGUCUGUAAAGUUGAAAAGUUUGAAAAGACAAAUUUUUGUUUUUAAUUUUUAAUUAUAAUAUUUAUUAUUUAAUAUUAAUAAUUAAUAUAAUAUUAAUAUAUAUUAUAAUAUAAUAUAUUUCGGUAAAUCGAAAUACCGCAUUACACAAAAAUUACAUACCGAAAACCGAACCAAAAUACCAAAAAAUACAAAAACAAAACCGAAAACCGAAAUAUCGAAAUCGAAUUACCAAAAUAAUUCGGUUCGUUCGAUUCGAUUCGGUUUUUCGGUGAUUAUGCGCAGCCCUAAAUUUCUACAUGUGUUUUGCCACAUAAAACGUGUGUUUGUGGCAUAAAGUUAGAUGUCUAUUGAGGCAAACAAAAAGGUAUAUAUGCCUAGAAUAAAUAAAGCUUCAGUAUCAUAGAAUAAAUUAUUUUUUUCUAUCAUUUAUCACAUAGGAUAGGCCAAGAGUCAUCCAAAGUUAAAUUAUUUUUUUCUAUCAUUUAUCACAUAGGAUAGGCCAAGAGUCAUCCAAAGUUAAAUUAUUUUUUUCUAUCAUUUAUCACAUAGGAUAGGCCAAGAGUCAUCCAAAGUUAAAUUAUUUUUUUCUAUCAUUUAUCACAUAGGAUAGGCCAAGAGUCAUCCAAAGUUAAAUUAUUUUUUUCUAUCAUUUAUCACAUAGGAUAGGCCAAGAGUCAUCCAAAGUUAAAUUAUUUUUUUCUAUCAUUUAUCACAUAGGAUAGGCCAAGAGUCAUCCAAAGUUAAAUUAUUUUUUUCUAUCAUUUAUCACAUAGGAUAGGCCAAGAGUCAUCCAAAGUUAAAUUAUUUUUUUCUAUCAUUUAUCACAUAGGAUAGGCCAAGAGUCAUCCAAAGUUAAAUUAUUUUUUUCUAUCAUUUAUCACAUAGGAUAGGCCAAGAGUCAUCCAAAGUUAAAUUAUUUUUUUCUAUCAUUUAUCACAUAGGAUAGGCCAAGAGUCAUCCAAAGUUAAAUUAUUUUUUUCUAUCAUUUAUCACAUAGGAUAGGCCAAGAGUCAUCCAAAGUUAUAGUAGAAAAGGAGUCAUUAAUGAAAACUUUAAUUUGGUGUUCCAUAUACAAUGCUUUAUCAUCUGAUAAGAAUAUAAUUUAUUCUUCUCCCUGUACUUACAAGCAGCCAAAGAUUUUUAUAUAUUUCUCCCGACAAACAAUAACAUGUUACAUGAGGACCCUUAAACCCUUUUUGUGGAGAGUAUUUUUGCAAGUUUAAGUGCAUAUUUGUGCAAAUUCAAAGUUGGAGGACAUAAUUAUCUAUUGAAGCUAAGUUAAGAGUGUGAUUGUUUCUUCUUUUGUGUUUAAAUAAACCAUAAAUGAUGUUUACCAAUAAUCACUUAAUCAUAUUAUGAUUAUUAAAGUCCACUUAUUUUUUUUUUAUACAUAUCUUUGAAGGUACGAAAUUAAAAAAAUUAAAUUUAAAAUAUUUUUUAAAAAAAAUUGACGGGUGUGGCGGGGGAGGGGGGUUGUCNNNNNNNNNNNNNNNNNNNNNNGGGGGGUUGGUUUGUAAUUUGAAAUCUAAAAAAUAAAAAAAUUUGAAACAUUUUGAAUGGGGAGGGUCGGGUACGGGGUAUGGGUAGGGUAAGAAAAAAAAAUUAAAGGAUGAAGUAGAGUUUAGGAAAAUGUUUUCCUUAAUUUUGGAAGGGAAGUCAUUUUUCUUAAGUUUGAGGAAAAUAAAUUGAUUUGAAAAACAUUUAAGGCCAACCAAAUAUGAAAUUAAAAAUUGGAAAACAUUUUCCAGAAAAUGUUCUCCUCCAUACCAAACACGCUCUAAAUGGUAAUUACUUUUUCCUCAUUGAUUAAAGGCUUCAAGUUUAAGUCCUAAAAAAAAAAAUUCACCUUUCAAAAUGAGAUAUUCUAUCACAAAUUCAAAUAAAUUAAACUGUAAAAUAAGUAUCAAAUUAUAUAUUGAUUGACAAUAAUAAUAAAAAAAUAACAAUGACUAAGAAUAUUAUAAAUAGCGAUAUUUUUUUUUAUGUCUAUUCAACUCUUGCUUGUCCUGGAUUUUUCAUUGCUAUGAAGUAUCUAGAUACGUGUAGGGUAGGGGUACUGUCAAUGUUAGAUUCGAUCUCUUAUUUUAUAAAAUUUAUAUCAUAUCAAUUUUUGAUUAUUUUAUUUUACUUCAUAAUUUGUGGUUUAGUUAAUUUUCGAUUUUUUUUGUUAAAACAUUAUGAUAGGAAGAUGUGUAGGACAUAAAUUAGAGUAGAAUAUUAGUAGGUAAGAAUGCGAUCAUACUAGUUGUUGACACUCAAUUUUGGAUCUCCACAAUAUAUAUUAAUCAUCGAGUUUCUUAAAUUCCAAACGAUUUGAAAUAAUUGACUUUAUAAAAUUCAAAAUAUUUUUAAAGUUAUUUUAAAUAGUUUUGUCACAUUUUAUAAUUUUUAAAUAAUAUAUAUGUUUUAAAUAAUUAUGUACAUAAUUAGUAUAUUUUAUGAAUAUUCGAAAAUUGUCUCAAAGGGAUUUUAGUUUUAGUUAAAUGUUUUGUCAACUAAUUUGGUUUAAGUAAUAGUUUAUAUUUUUAAAUUAAUUAGUUUAUAAUUAAGUUAAUUAUUUUAUUUUGUUAAGAUUAAGAUACUCGUUUAUUAAUAUUAAUUCGUUUUCGUUAAUCUUUAGUUGGAUUCGCUAAUAAAAUUCAUCUGGCUAGAUUGUUAAUUCAUUCCUAACCUUUUAUUUGCAAUUUUAGCCAUUAUUUCCCCACCCUAAACCCAUUUGAGACCAAGUUUUGGGCCUAUUUCUUCAGUCCAACCGGCCCAAAUUCUACUCUAAAUGAAUCGGUCCACUCUCAAUUCUCUCAAAUGCAACAAGAUCCAGCCUACUUUAUUUUUCAACAAUCCAAACAUACAAUACACAAACAACAUACGUACAGCAAACGCUACCAGACCCCUGCGUUUUUUUCUUCUUCUUCCUCAACACGAAGAAACCCAGAAUCUCCAGCAAUCCAAAAUCGAGAACCCAGAAAGCCGACCCGAGUUCAGAAAAUCCAAGUCGCGUGACCCUCUUCUCUCCCUCGUUCUCCGUACAGAAUUCAGGUCUCUCCAUCUCCAUCUUUGAUCGUCCAUGUGAAAGAAUCGGACGGUCCCCUCUUUGAAUCCGUUGAGGAGGUGUACGAAAUGGAGUCAGCAGCCUUAUCCUCCAAGGGAGCAAUUCGAAUUUCAAGUUUCAAAUUCCAUCCAUUUCCCCCCUAAAUCAACCCUAGAAAUCCCCCUAUAUAAACCCUCCUCUAGUGCUCAAUCGGUUUUUUUACAAAAAAAAGAGGGAACAAAAACUCCAAAAAAUAAAAGCAAAGUAGUCGAGAGAACAGAGAAAGGAACAGAAAUAUAUAGCCUACAUUUUGAUAGUUUCAUUCGAACAUAGCGAAGCGGAGCAAAGAGGGUCCUCUUUGUUCAUUGCUCGCCGGAGUUCAUCGUAUUUUGUGGUUGUGGAAAGCUCUUCACCUCGAGUUCCCAGUUGCUGCCCGGAAAGGGGUAAACCUCUGUUUCGUUUGACAUUUAGUUGAUAUGCUUACUGUUUCUGCUCCUCUCAAUUACCUUGGCGUUCUUCAUGUUAUAAUUGAAUAAAUUUGAUGACCGUUUUAGCUAACUUCUCUGUUUGUGUCGGAGUCUCGUCUACUGUUCCAUAGAAAUAUGUCUGAAAGUUUUUUUUCAGUGCUUUGUUUCUUUUCUGAUCAGCUGUUAGUAUUAUCUUCAUAGUCUUAAGUGUUGAAUCUACUUAGUUUGUCUCUCUGUUUGUCAUCUGACUGUUAGUAAGAAUUAUUGCUUGUUUAGGUGUUUAUCGAUAUUCAUGCUUAUUGUUGCAAAUGAUAAUCUUACAGCUUCUUGUUUGGUGCUAUUGACAUCCCUUAAAGCAUAUGCUAUUAGCUCGGUUUCUCUAUUGAAAAUUGUUGUUGUGAUGCCUAUUUCGUCCGUUAGCAUUUUCUUUGGUUCUAUUGUUCAUGUUCUUUGGUUAAAUACUUCCUCGAAUCUCAAUCUGUUGUGUUUUCUUGCCUUGGCACCGCUCCAAGCUUGUUCUAGUGAUUGUUUGUUUUUGGGAAAAUUGUAUGAUCACUUGGUUUUCCUUAUUGAUCAAAUCUUGUGUUUAGUAUGGAUGAUAGGUGUUUGAUUGUAUUGUUAGCAUCCUAACUUUAACUUUGUCCUACUUGGGAAUUUAAGCAUGUUGGAUUUUGCUUAAAAAUUUUACUAAAUUUCAUUAUAAUUCUAUUGUUUUGAUGCGUGUGUUAAAAAUAUUUGGUCUAGUGGUCGUUUUCUUGCUCAUUCAUGUACGUCAUUACUUGAAUCUCUUGUUCUAAAAGAUGUUAAGAGUUCCUUGCUAGAGUUUAAUGAUGCUUUAAAAAUGGGGUCCUAAGGAGUUAGGUGUUGAUAUUUUGAUGUUCAUUAUUUGGAAAUGUUGUCCAGUAUCUAUUGUAAUGACCAACAUUGUACAAAAUUACAAAUUCCUUAGUUAAAUGUGGUCUUUCUUCAUUGUGUUUAGCAUCUGUUUUGGGCCUACUUCAUUAAUCAGCCAACUAAUGGCCUGAAAACAAAAUAAUUGUUUCCUGGUUCAAAUAGCUUCAUUUUUCUUACUUGAUUGAUGUACCUAUCAGUUGUUUCCUCGAUUUCCUCCAUCAUAUGCUAAUAUGUUAUUUUCUUUGUUUGGCAUGAACACCACAUGAGUCUAUUAUGGAUUCUUGUCUCCUAAUCUCUUGCAUCCUCAAGAUGAGCCAUGGAGGCUCGAUUUUUCCUUCAUCGAGUCAGCCUCCAUUUUACUUGAAUGUCGGGAGAGCCACACAAGGCUGGAAUUUGAACUUCCAAGCUCUGAAAAGGAUCGAAAACAAGCUGUUAUACAUGUUGUAUACACCGGUAGGAAAAUACAAUAUACAGGUUCGAAGCGCAGAAAUACAGGUGGAAAAGGCAAAAAUACGAAGUUCAAAUAAAAUUACAGGUCCGAGAGUUCGAGAAUUAGCGAUAUACAUGGUGUAUACAUCGAAUAUACACUUAGUGUAUAUCAUGGCAAAAUGAGAAUGAAAGGGGCCCAAAACCUUAAGUGAUUUCAGCAGGCCCAAAUGAAAAAAAAAUGGGCCAAAGCCUCAUUCAAAAAUUGUUGCAGGAACUUUGAAGAAUUGGGCCUAAAAGCCCAUUUUUGCUGAAUUUGGGAAAAGAACCCAAAUUCAAAUCUUCUCUCCUUUUUCUCCUUUAUUUAUAUUGUAUUAUUUGACUAACCUUGAUUAUCUUAUGGUUUAAUUUAAUUAAAUUCCCAAAGAUGGCUAUUUCAUGUUAUUUUCCAACUUAAAAUAUAUAUUUUAUUACUUAGCUCUUAUUUUAUUAAUUGUCCUGUCACUUAAGUUACUUUUCUUUAGAAAAAAUUCCCCUUUAAUUCUAUCCCCUUAAGAUAAUUAUACAACAAUAAUAAUAACAAUAAUAUAUAUAUAUAUAUAGUAACAAGCGAUGAAUUUCUUUUACUUAGUUGAAAUUUCAAAGGUUAGUCGAAACUCAUUUUUAGUCAAAUCGCCGGCGGUCAAUCGCAAGUUAGCGGACAUUUCGAAGGCUUCACCUUCUCGGAAUGUAUAUUGAACUCGAACUUUUUUAUUUUCAAUUGAUUUUAUCUGUUUAAGUCUUUUGAAAACCUUAAGUUUUUUCUUGAUUUUUACUAAAAAUUAAGUGGCGACUCUGUUUAUUUUGGAAAUUUGAUUUCUCUUAAAUCAUAAGUUUAAUUGAUUUUUUGAAAACUUAGUUAUUUUUCUUUUAUUUUAUAUUUUCAAGUAAAACACUAGUAAGUAGGACUGCAUUUUCUUGUUACCCUUACUCGUAGUCAUAGGACUGUACAGUCUUGUAGUUUCUUAACUAUCCUUCAAUUUUUGUUGCUAUCUAUGACUUCGUGUAGUUCAAUUAUAAUAUUAUUUUAUUGUAGUAGUGUUCUACUAUACUAUCGAAAAUAGCCUCUUUAUCUCAACUAAUAGGUAGAGGCAAGGUUUGAGUACACUUUACCUCCCAGACCCCACUUUGUAGGACUACACUGGAUAUGUUGUGUUGUUGUUAUGUAAGAGUCAUAAGUAGAAGUUAGAACACGAUACUAAGUAUACUUUGGUAGAAUUUUAAUUUGAUAAAAACUCUCUAGACGCUUUUACAAAUUAAAAAGUGAUGCAUCAAAAAAACAUGAAAGACGUCAGUAAUAAAGUUCUAUCCCACUUUUUUACAUGCGAUGAUAAAAAAAUAUGAAGUUAAACAAAGAUAAACAAAUUGAAACGAAGUGGCUCAAGAAUUGGGUCUUCUAAAAUACAUCCAAUAAGAGAAAUUUAAAUCAUAUAUUAAAGGAAAGAUAUCUAUUAUCUUACAGCUUACUACUCAAAUUAAAAAAAUACCAAUGUAAUCAAUAUAAGUAGCAUAUUAUUAGGUUUAGGAGAUGGAUCUUUAGGUACAAUUGAGACAAUUACUAUUUACUUAACGACAUUUAUCUAGAAUGUUGGUUAUUAAAAGUACCUAUAUUAUAUUAUUACUGUUAAAUAUAAUAUAGUGACAAUUAUAAUAUUCUCGCAAAAUUAUUUAUUUGUUAUAAUGUAUUGGAUGGGAUGUUGUAUAAGACAUUUAAAAAUUACCUGAUUCAAAACGGACUAGUUAGAGUGUACUUGAUUUCUUCUUAAAUUAUUUUGCUCUGCUUAACUUUUAUGAAGGUGAAGGAAUAUGAGAGAUGGUGAAUAUUAAAGGGCAUCUUACAUAAAUCUCACUACUUUAGAUCCCAAUUACUAGGAUUCCCGAUAGUUUGUAAUAUUACUUUUUAUACCAUAAUUUGGCCCCGAGAUACAUGUAUCACUGAUGGCGAGAUACAUGUAUCCAACCGUUUUAAAAGCUGAGAUACACAAUUUAUUAAUUUAAAUUAAAGGGGUUGUAACUUAUUUCCUUAAUUAAUGGAUUAAUUGCUGACUAAUUAACAACUCAACAAAUUUACAAGAUCUUGAGUAUCAUCUCUAACAAAUAUUCCUAAAAUAACGAAAUCAUAAACCUAAUUAAUUAUGUUAUUGUACUCUUAGGAUUAACCUCUUCAUCUCUUCUUCAUCAGCUUGAAUCAUUAAUGACGAGAUACAUGUAUCCAAGCCGAGAUACACGAUUUAUUAAUUUGGAUUAACCUCUUCAUCUUCUUCAUUGACUUUAAUCAUUAACGGCGAGAUACAUGUAUCCAUCAAUUUUUAAAAGUGAGGUACACGAUUUAUUAAUUUGAAUUAACCUUUAACAAGAAUCAUCUGAUUUUGUAAACAGUCAACCAUUAAAAUAGUUGAGAAACAACAAAAACAAAUAAUGUAAAAACCUGCACAUGGCUUCAUUGGCGUCCAGCGACUCGCGUCGGAGUAAGGAGGAAGUAUUUAAUGUAAAUUGAACUGAAACAAGUAAUUGGAAGAAUUGCAGAGAAGAAGAAAUGCCUAAAAAGUAGAGAACAAAGAAGAAGUACAAAAAAUUCUUGUUUAGAAGGGUGGUUGCCUUUUUGCCUUCUAAAAUGUUAUACCAAAGAUAUAAUCACACUCUAAGCAAAAAGAUAGUGCACAACAUUACAUUCAUAAUGCGGUUAUAUGAAAACGCAAAGUUUUGUCAUUUCCGGAGUUCUUUUUCGGAUUGAGGGUGGAAUCUGGUAAGGGCUGGGGUGGGGGGAGAGAUAUUGUUGGGGGAGAAGACUGAAGGAGGUUGAAUUGAUAAUUAUUCAAUACCAUAUUUAAGGGAUUUGUGUAUCUGAUUUAAUUUUCUUAAAUAUAUGGUAUAAUUAUUAAAAAGUGGUAUUAUGAGUAAUAUUUUUAAACUAUAGGUAACAUAUGUAUAAAUAGUAGUUAAGUAUGUCUAAUUAUGUAGUUUAUCCUAAAUUUAUUAAAUUCGAUAUGGGUAUACUAUAUAUAGAUUAAUUGCAAACCUGCCUAUAUUACUAACAUGAAAUAGUGUGCAUUUUGAGAAAAGUAUCUUAGAAUAAAUAAAGUUUUAGUAUCAUAGAAUAAAGUGUAUAUAGACAUUACAUUUAAGAAAACAUAUCAUAGAAUAACACUUUGAGUGUGUGUUCAAGCCACUAUUUAUUUUAAAAUUUGAUAUCAAGUUUAAUUGAAGAACAACACUUUUAGGGUAAAACAUAUCAUAGAAUAACACUUUGAGUGUGUGUUCAAGCCACUUUUAUUCUAAAACUUGAUAUCAAGUAUAAUUGAAGAACAACACUUUUAGGGUGUGUUCAGUAUGAUGGAAGAUUUGCUAUUUUUUCUGAAAAAUAUGUGAGUUUCUUAUUUAUUUUUAAUGUUUGAUAAAUAAGUUGAAUAUAAUAUUUGUAUAAAAUUUAAGCAAGCACAAUUCAGGUUGGCAUAGGGGUUAAGGAUGUGAGGGUAGUGGGGAAGAGGACUAUGAGAUUGGUACAUAGGCAUAUUCAUAAUUUCAAUAGGAUAAGUGCAUUAUUUUGAAAAAGGACGAUCUAUGAUAUAUUUUCUUAGAUUGGAGAGAAGUAACCAUUUUGUGCAGUUGAUUUUCUUCUUUAAGAAUCUGAUCCAAGAAUUGACAAUAUGCUCUGUUUCACUAUACUUGCCUUUAGGGGUGGGCAUUCAAUAUUCGAUUUGGGAUUUUCGAAUUUUGGAUUUGGUAAUUCGAUAAAAUUGGUACAAUUCGGCUAUAACUUCAAAAUCAACGAAUUAUGAUUGAAAUUCAUGUCAAAACUAGUCUAACUCUUACUCAAAUUUUAGAAUCAAAUUGUUGGGUUCGAAAGAAUCAGAGCAUCAUUCAUAAGCUUACAAUUGCAAAUCAUGUUGGGGCUAAGUCAGGUGACAACUAAAAAUUAGAGAAAAGGCUCAAAUAUAUCAUCGAACUUUGAAAAAAGGCUCAUCUAUGCGAUGCAUCUGUUAAAAGUUUGGCUUAUCCAUGCCAUUUCCGUUUCAGAAAAGGCUCACUCAUACCAUUAUUUUGUUAACCGAAAACAAUUUCGAUUUUGCAAAAUCAUUGUUUACACGUGGUCAAUUAUGAUUCGGCCACACCAUUAAUUAAAUCAUUUUUUAAAGAGAAAAACCCAAAUAUAUCAUCGAACUAUGAGAAAUGGAAAAAUGUUCAUCUAUGCCAUCCGUUAAAAGUUUGGUUCAUUUAUACUAUUUUAGUUUACAAAUAAUGACAUGGACGAACCUUUUCUUAAACAAAAAAUGACAUAGAAAACAAACAUAUCCAUAUUUGUUGAUUUAAAGGGUAUAAAUGAUGAAGUUCAAAAAUGAAAAAGGCUAAAUAUAGUCAACUUGUUUGUUGGAAAUCAUCAACUAACAGGAAUAUAUGAACUCCGGUAAGAGGAUAUAAUUUGGAAGAAUUAAUCAAUGUGUUAUUAUCGCGGAAAUAUCAUCGAUUAACUAGCAUACAAUCAUAAAUAAAGAAAAUAGAGAAGAAAAAAAACACAAGAAUUUAACGAGGUUUGACUAUGCCUAAUCAUUCAAGCAAAAGCAGAGAGAGUUUUCUUCUAUGAAUGAAAAGAAGAAAGUGUACAAUACUUUCAAGUGUUGACACCCAAUUUUGGACCUCCACAAUAUAAAUUAAUCAUCUCGAGUUUCUUCAAUUUUAAACGAUUUAAAAUAAUUAGAUUUAUAAAAUUUCAAAAAAAAUAAUAAAUAAUAAUAAUAAUAGUAAUAAUAAUAAUAUAGUUUGCAAGAUUUUUAAAUAGUUUGUCACUUUUUAUAAAUUUUAGAUGAUAUAUAUGUUUUACAUAAUUAUGUAUAUAACUAGUAUAUUUUAUGAUUAUUCGAAAUAUCGUCUAAAAAAAAAAGAAGAUUUUUAUAUUUUAAAUAUUAGGGAUGGUUAUAAUUUUGAGUUAAUGAGUUUCAUGAAAUUCAAAAUACUUUCAAGUUAUUUUUAAAGUAAUUUUAUCACUUUUUAAUAAUAAGUAUGUAUAGUUUUGCAAUCACGCUAUUUUAUAAAUAUUUAAAAAUUAUCACAAAAGAUUUUACAUUUUAGUUAAAUAUUUCAUCAAUUUGCUUUAAGUUAUAGCUAUAAUUUCGAGUUAAUUAGUUUUGUAAUUGAAUUAAUUAGUUUAUAAUUAAGUUCAUUAUUUUUAUUUUGUUGAGAUUAAAAAACUCAUUAAUUAAUUUAUAUUAAUUCGUCUUAUUUGGCUUUUUAGUCGAAUCACCAAUUAAACUCUAUUUGGCUAACUUGUCAAUUUUCUAGGCCAUAAUUACAAUUCUUGUGACUAUUUCCUAAUUUGCAAAACCUAUCCACAUUUUGACCCUAUUUUCAGCCAAGAAACGGGCCUGAUUCCAUUUCCUAAACUAAUCCCUCCAGCCCACACCCUUAGCUCCGACCCGGCCCAACUCUUUGUCAUCAACAAAGAGACCCAGUAGAUGAACAUCACAGCAGCUUCCAAACAUCAACAAUACAAUACAUCACACCAUACGUAUAUACACAGUAUCCCACCGCCCAACUUCGUCUUCCUCGCUGCAAAUCAGCGAUUCUAACAGCACCCCGACCCCACUGCCCAUGCUCGUUUUCUUCUUCCAGACGAAACCCAGAAGGCUAGUAAACGUCAACAUCGACAGUCGCUCAGACCGGAAAUCCCGCAGCAAAUCGCGUCCUCCACUUCCCCUCUCCCCUCUUUUCCGUUGAAAAUUGGUACAAUGGAAAAUUCAUUUCUUAUCUCUUCAAGAUUUUUGAUUUUUCAAAUUGGAUUCGGAUCCAUCUUUUCAACCCGAUUUCCCCUCUAAAUCGACCCCAAAUUCCCCUAUAUAUAAACCCCCACUGCCUUCAUUCUUAAGGGGGUUGGGAGAAAAUUUUAGAAGAGUUAUAGAGUUGGCCAGAAUUUACUCACGAAAUAUAGGUUAUAAAGGUCUAGGAAUAGUCAAUUUUACAUUUUGAAAAGCUCUUGGAAGACUAGUUUAAGAGUUUCGGAAAGUUUAUUAUUCGGGUUUCAUUUGGAUUCUCUUGGUGUGUUGUUCGAGCUUUGAAUCCGUGUGUUGGAAAAUUUGAAACCAAGCUCCCAUCUGUCCCGGAACGCUGCUCCGAAGAAGGUAAUUCUGCCUCUUCUUACAUUUUAUUUCGGUAUGAUGUGUUGUAUGUCCGAGCUUUUACUACAAGUCCUACUAUUAAGUGUGUUUGGUUCCGAGUCUUCCUGUUUCCUUUACUGUCGUUUCUUAUGAAUUUCUGGGCACAUGACUCAAGUUUUGAUAAAGCUUCUUUGGUAUUAAGAUGCUAGUCGUUAGAUUCGCUGGUUCAACGGGGUAUCAAAAUGAUGUACUGUUCGAUUGGUUUCGACUUUGAAUAUGCUAUAUGUAUAAGUUUGAUUGGUUAUCCUCUCUAUCGUUUUAUUCAUUAUGAUAGACUCUCAUUUAUAUUAGCUCAAUCUCAUGCUAUAGUUAAAUAAAAUCUCUGCUUUUACAUACUUGAGUGCUGUCCAUGUCUUGUUAUUGUUUUGUUUCUUCUGGUCUCAAAGCAUGGUGUCAUUAUAACUCGCUUGUUUCCAUGAUCCACAACCUCGAUGCUAAAACCUCUCAUCCUUUCCAUGAAAAACAUUGUUUCCUGACCAUGUGAGUGUAUUGGCAUCUACAUUCUAUUUUAUUAUGUCAAAUAAAGUUUAUCUUCAUGAUAAGUAUCGACUAUUUGUACGAUGUGAUUAACGAGCUCAAUAGUCUAAGUGUAAGAUUGACCUCCUUGGCUUUCUCUGUUAAGUAUUUCAUUUCAAGCUUGUUGAUAGUUUCAUUAUUGUGCAACGGUAGAUGAUUUCUAGCAUUUAAAGUUGUCCAGCUUCAGUUUUGUGUAGCAUUAAUCAUGUUUGAGAGUAUGAGUAAGUGCUCUAAAUUUGUUUGUUUGUUUAUUAGUAUCUAAUGUAGUCCUUAUAUUUUUGCUAAAAAAGAAACAAUAAAAAAUCAAUAAAUAAAUAUGCUUUACUUUUCACAUGUUUCCAGUUGUUGAUAUUUAUUGUUUAUGAUAUGAAUAAUCACGGUUCCCUUUCAAUUAUCUCUUUUAAAUUAUUUACUUUCCGAAUUGAUAUCCUUCGUUUCUUGUCGGUGGGUGAUACUUGAACCUAAUGUGUAUGAGUACGGUUGUCUCGCAUUAUUAGAAUGAAGCUUUAAAUUUGUAUGUCUGAGAGUUGCUUAGAUACUAACGUAUAAAGAUAGAUAUCACUAGAGUUGCCCUUUUAGUGUUGGCUUAUAGCAAUAUUUGUUGUUCAAAUGCACUUGUAAACUUGUCCUUAGUUGCUAAUAAUCUGCUCGUUGAUACUAGUUUGCAUAAUGUGGUCACUGCCACAUAGAACUUAUUCACUGAUUUAGUUGUAUUCUUCCAUUUCAGCUCUCUUUUGAGUUAUUUGUAUUGUAUAAGUAGUCUUUCAUUAUCAUUAAAUAUGCCUUAUCUACAUACACAUCCUCCUUGCCUUAUGCAGUUGUGAUUAGUAAUCAAUUUGUUUAGUUAUCUAUUGAUCUUGUUUCAUCUCUUUAGUAGAUAUUAUGUAUAUUUUGUUUAGUUUGGAAACUUUCUCUAAUGGCUUGUCCCAUUCUUAAUUAGUUUCCACAAUUAGCUCUCAUUUUGAAUACAAUAUCACCAUCCUGUUGUCUAGAAAUAUAAUGUUAUUAAUUAGGUUCUCAUCUCUUAAAAUAAUUUAUGUGUCUACCUUCGUCUAGAGUUAAUUACUUGAUCAUAAAUUUGAUGGAAGUUUUACCCCUUUUUUUUCUGUUUAUUGUUGUUUUCCUCAUGUGAUUGCUACGGUCUUUUUCUAAUGAUUCACUGUGUCUCAUUUGGUUCUCUUUGCAAAAUUUGAGCUUAAUUCUUAAACUUGAAUAAUUUACAAAUGCUAAUCUCUUUGUUUUACUUUAUGUUUUGCAUGCGAAACUCCAUCCGAGUCCCUUUGGACUCAUCUCUUGCAUAUCCUCGAGUUAUUUCGAGUCAGCUUCAUCUUGUUCGAGUUGCUGGAAAGUGAAAUUACAGGUCCCGAAAAGUCGAAAGUGGUUAGUAUACACUCAGUAUACAGCAGUAUACGCUGACAUUCAGGCCCAAAACGUAAAAGUACAGGGCUGAGGCGACAUAUAGGUGUUCGGAAGCAAGAAAUACCUGAAAAGAGCUAAUAUAUGCGGUCAUAUACACUGAUAUACAUCCACUGUAUACCAAAAACGGGAUUGGGUUAAAACCCAAAAAAUUCCAACGAAUUUGGCCCAAAAGGAGGCCCAAAUUCAUUUUCUCCCUUACUCUUUAAUUAUAUAAUUGUGAUUAUUUAUUGUUUAUUGUUUAACUCUAACUUUAUAAUCGCAAAUCAACUUAGUCGAAUUCCCCAAAAGACGAACUAUCUCUCUGUGUUGUUUUGUUUCUAACAAAAAUCUUAUUUUUAUCAAUUUUUGUAUUUUC